RNAcentral lists this ribosomal RNA (729 nucleotides) under Microphysogobio longidorsalis. Its description in RNAcentral is "partial small subunit ribosomal RNA". It matches the Rfam family "Bacterial small subunit ribosomal RNA", at positions 513 to 1533 of the family's 1533-position model. The record is from RNAcentral. Lineage: Eukaryota; Metazoa; Chordata; Actinopteri; Cypriniformes; Gobionidae.
CACCGCGGUUAAACGAGAGGCCCUAGUUGACAUUAUUACGGCGUAAGGGUGGUUAAGGAAGGAAACAGUAAUAAAGCCAAAUGGCCCUUUGGCCGUCAUACGCUUCUAGGUGUCCGAAGCCCAUCCCCACGAAAGUAGCUUUAACAAAACCCACCUGACCCCACGAAAGCUGAGAAACAAACUGGGAUUAGAUACCCCACUAUGCUCAGCCAUAAACCCAGACGUCGAACUACAAUUAGACGUCCGCCAGGGUACUACGAGCAUUAGCUUGAAACCCAAAGGACCUGACGGUGCCUUAGACCCCCCUAGAGGAGCCUGUUCUAGAACCGAUAACCCCCGUUAAACCUCACCACUUCUAGCCACCCCAGCCUAUAUACCGCCGUCGCCAGCUUACCCUGUGAAGGCAAUAAAAGUAAGCAGAAUGGGCACAGCCCAAAACGUCAGGUCGAGGUGUAGCGCACGAAGCGGGAAGAAAUGGGCUACAUUUUCUAUCACAGAACACUACGGACAUGCAACAUGAAAUAGUGCUUGAAGGAGGAUUUAGUAGUAAAGAGGAAACAGAGUGUCCUUUUGAACCCGGCUCUAAGGCGCGUACACACCGCCCGUCACUCUCCCCUGUCAACACGCAUUAGAGAUACAUAAUAUUAAAGCACUGACAAGGGGAGGCAAGUCGUAACAUGGUAAGUGUACCGGAAGGUGCACUUGGAUUAAACCCAGGGCGUGGCUGAG